UUCAGCAGUCACACGGCCUGCAGUUCAGACCAGAUAAUCCAGCUGAAGCUAAGCUGGUUUAGGCCUGGCUAGUAUGUCAAUGGGAGACCAACUAGAAAAGCUGGGUUGCUGCUGGAA
RNAcentral lists this ribosomal RNA (117 nucleotides) under Paramormyrops kingsleyae. Lineage: Eukaryota; Metazoa; Chordata; Actinopteri; Osteoglossiformes; Mormyridae. The record is from RNAcentral.